RNAcentral lists this long non-coding RNA (243 nucleotides) under Nicotiana benthamiana. RNAcentral describes it as "long non-coding RNA (NBEN_LNC032660)". The record is from RNAcentral. Lineage: Eukaryota; Viridiplantae; Streptophyta; Magnoliopsida; Solanales; Solanaceae.
GUUGGUCAUUUUUGAAAAAUUCCGGACCUCACUGGAUAAGACAAUCGAUUGUCAAAUAUAGAUAAUCGAUUGUUGAUCACUUUUUGAAAAAUUCGUUAUAAAGACAAUGGAUUGUUGAUCAUUGACAAUCGAUUGUUUUGCAGUUUUAUGCGACAUAUGAGAUAACCGACUAGUUUUUCAGGUUAGUCGAUUACCUCUACUGGAAAGUAAAGAUAUUAUUGAUAUUUGAGCAUAUUGAGANNN